CCUAACAGCUGCAGUUUCCCAACAAUGCUGCUCCUGAAAGUGUAUAUAAGAAAAGCUCCACGUUCAGAGCAACACCACAACAACCUCCCUGAUCAUCUGUGAGACAGUCUGCUGAAGCUAAGACCUGACGGUGUGAUCACUGAAACCAUGCUGAAGGUAGCACUUGUUCUUGGAUGCCUCCUGAGCCUCGCUCUGGCCAGUCCUAUGGAUGGAGGACACAAACGAUUUGCCCGCUCAAACGAUGUUUCUGAUUCUGGUUCCAACUCUAAUGAGGCUACCACUACAACUGCUACAACUACUGCUGCUGGUGCUACUACCACUUUGUCCCCAGCACAACUAACACAAUCCUCGAGGCUCUUCUUGCCCUCUUACAAGGAUAAUAACCUUCAGUUAUGGAGCACUUUUCAAAUUCCAAGUUCAUUAAAGUGCUCCACAAGACUAAAAGAAAUUAAACAGACAAAUCAAAAAAUUGUCACAUUGGAAAAAAAAACACACAAUUCGAUGGAUGAAAACCAGUGUUGGAAAAAGUAAAAAAAACUUUAGAGAGAAAUCAAAGACAGUUGAAAGGAAACUACAUCUCCCGUAAAAUCAGGAAAGUAUGUCUUCAGAAGUAAACAGCAAGAUCUUAAAAUGUGUCCUAAAACACACCUCCUGUUUCCUACUGCUGCUACAACUACUACAGCAGCAACGACUACAACAGCUGCUCCAUUCUAAUAUCUGAAAUGUAACCAGGAACCAAGAAGUGAAUGAAAACCAGUUUGAAGUGGAUUUUCAAUGUCAGCUCUAUUUCCUGUUGGUUUGAAAUGUUUUACUGAGAAUUUGUUCUGAUUUUCUGCUCUCAAGUUUAAAUCAUGUUUUUCACCUGACCACACUGCCAAAUAAAGUUCAUAAAUGUAAAAUA
Acanthochromis polyacanthus (spiny chromis) is the source of this 901-nucleotide long non-coding RNA. RefSeq lists it as uncharacterized. The transcript has 4 exons. The record is from RefSeq and is a predicted model, not a curated record. Lineage: Eukaryota; Metazoa; Chordata; Actinopteri; Pomacentridae.